UUAAGCAUAUCAAUAAGCGGAGGAAAAGAAACCAACAGGGAUUGCCUCAGUAGCGGCGAGUGAAGCGGCAAAAGCUCAAAUUUGAAAUCUGGCGUCUUUGGCGUCCGAGUUGUAAUUUGAAGAAGGUAUCUUUGGGCCCGGCUCUUGUCUAUGUUCCUUGGAACAGGACGUCACAGAGGGUGAGAAUCCCGUGCGAUGAGAUGACCCGGGUCUGUGUAAAGUUCCUUCGACGAGUCGAGUUGUUUGGGAAUGCAGCUCUAAGUGGGUGGUAAAUUCCAUCUAAAGCUAAAUAUUGGCGAGAGACCGAUAGCGAACAAGUACAGUGAUGGAAAGAUGAAAAGAACUUUGAAAAGAGAGUGAAAAAGUACGUGAAAUUGUUGAAAGGGAAGGGCUUGAGAUCAGACUUGGUAUUUUGCAUGCUGCUCUCUCGGGGGCGGCCGCUGCGGUUUACCGGGCCAGCAUCGGUUUGGAGCGGCAGGAUAAUGGCGGAGGAAUGUGGCACGGCUUCUGCUGUGUGUUAUAGCCUCUGACGAUACUGCCAGCCUAGACCGAGGACUGCGGUUUUUACCUAGGAUGUUGGCAUAAUGAUCUUAAGUCGCCCGUCUUG
This 607-nucleotide ribosomal RNA is filed under the name Candida albicans. RNAcentral describes it as "eukaryotic LSU rRNA". It matches the Rfam family "Eukaryotic large subunit ribosomal RNA", at positions 34 to 656 of the family's 3401-position model. Lineage: Eukaryota; Fungi; Ascomycota; Pichiomycetes; Serinales; Debaryomycetaceae. The record is from RNAcentral.